UACGUAGGUGGCAAGCGUUGUCCGGAAUUAUUGGGCGUAAAGCGCGCGCAGGCGGUCCUUUAAGUCUGAUGUGAAAGCCCACGGCUCAACCGUGGAGGGUCAUUGGAAACUGGGGGACUUGAGUGCAGGAGAGAAGAGUGGAAUUCCACGUGUAGCGGUGAAAUGCGUAGAGAUGUGGAGGAACACCAGUGGCGAAGGCGACUCUUUGGCCUGUUCUUGACGCUGAGGCGCGAAAGCUAGGGGAGCAAACGGG
This 253-nucleotide ribosomal RNA is filed under the name uncultured bacterium. RNAcentral describes it as "partial 16S ribosomal RNA". It matches the Rfam family "Bacterial small subunit ribosomal RNA", at positions 524 to 776 of the family's 1533-position model. The record is from RNAcentral.